CUAUACAUGACUCUGCGCAUAUCAAUAAGCGGAGGAAAAGGAACUAACAAGGAUUCCCCUAGUAACGGCGAGUGAAGCGGGAAGAGCUCAAAUUUGAAAUCUUAAAGGGCUUCCCUUUACGAAUUGUAGUUUAAAGAAGUGUUUUCUGUUGAGGUUUUGGUAAAAGUUCUUUGGAAUAGGACAUCAUAGAGGGUGAGAAUCCCGUAUUUGACCUUUACUUUCAACUUUGUGAUACACUUUCAAAGAGUCGGAUUGUUUGGGAAUGCAGUCCAAAAUGGGUGGUAAAUUUCAUCUAAAGCUAAAUAUUGGCGAGAGACCGAUAGCGAACAAGUACCGUGAGGGAAAGAUGAAAAGAACUUUGAAAAGAGAGUUAAACAGUACGUGAAAUUGUCAAAAGGGAAGCGUUUGACACCAGUGUUGUUUUUCUGAAAAUCAAUUAAAGAACUGUUUAUGCUAAGUUGUUUAGACUUUAUCAGCUAUCUGUUUAGUUUUGAGCUUUUCUUUAAUGCACUUUUCAGUUAACAAGUCAACAUCAAUUUCUUUUGCUGUAAAAAAGCUUGAGGAAGGUGGCUUGAGAUUCGUCUUAAGUGUUUAUAGCCUCUUGCCUAUGCAGUCGGAGAGAUUGAGGUCUGCAGCGUAGAUCCUUCGGGGCUAAAUGCAUUUGUGCUAAGUUAUAGCAUUUUAUAGACAACUUGUUGACUAUGAUUUGUCUUGUAGCUUACUCGCUUAUGUUAUUUUACCUACGCUUAGGAUGUUGAUCUACAGAGCGAGAGU
RNAcentral lists this ribosomal RNA (774 nucleotides) under uncultured Neocallimastigales. RNAcentral's name for it is "partial large subunit ribosomal RNA". It matches the Rfam family "Eukaryotic large subunit ribosomal RNA", at positions 22 to 635 of the family's 3401-position model. The record is from RNAcentral. Lineage: Eukaryota; Fungi; Neocallimastigomycota; Neocallimastigomycetes; Neocallimastigales.